UACGAAGGGGGCUAGCGUUGUUCGGAAUUACUGGGCGUAAAGCGCGCGCAGGCGGUCUUCCAAGUCAGUGGUGAAAGCCCGGAGCUCAACUCCGGAACUGCCAUUGAAACUGUUGAACUUGAGGACGAGAGAGGUGAGUGGAAUUCCCAGUGUAGAGGUGAAAUUCGUAGAUAUUGGGAAGAACACCGGUGGCGAAGGCGGCUCACUGGCUCGUUUCUGACGCUCAGGCGCGACAGCGUGGGGAUCAAACAGG
RNAcentral lists this ribosomal RNA (253 nucleotides) under uncultured bacterium. RNAcentral describes it as "partial 16S ribosomal RNA". It matches the Rfam family "Bacterial small subunit ribosomal RNA", at positions 524 to 776 of the family's 1533-position model. The record is from RNAcentral.